Molecule: long non-coding RNA, 1740 nt
Organism: Populus trichocarpa (black cottonwood)
Lineage: Eukaryota; Viridiplantae; Streptophyta; Magnoliopsida; Malpighiales; Salicaceae
Exons: 2
Source: RefSeq, a predicted model, not a curated record
UCAAAUAUUUUAUCAAUUCUUCUACAGUGUUUAAGUUUAUAAGUUUAUAGCUCGAGAAACCUAGUUUUUAUCUUCUAUAUAUGCUGCGUCAUUUAUCUUGUGUUUAUGAUUUUAAAUUGAUUGAUUUGCAGGUGUAGUUUUGUGUUUGUUGUGGGAGGGGAGUAAGAAGGGAUAAUGAUUUCUAUUCAGAAAUGGAAAUGUUCAUGGUCUUUGAUAGCAACAAUUGUGUCUGUAGUGGCACUAGUUUCGGCAGCUCCUCUGUUCUUGUUUCCUGUGCUGCCUUUUUUAGAUUGCUUCAAUGUUCGGAAUUCUAGUGUCCCGAUUAAUGGAACAGUGGAUGAAAGGAAUCAUCAUCAUGUCUUGGAAAAUUUAAAACCGGUUCUAGAUUUAGAGCCUAGGUUUCCCAGUUGACUUGCAUGGGGUAGUGGUUAAUUCAUCGGAAUGCUCCAUGGAAGGCUGAGAUUGGGCGAUGGCUUUCUGUCUGUGAUUCAGCUACUAAGGAUGUCACUGUUGUUGAGGUAAUAAUACUACGAGUAACGAUAAUUAUUAAUUUGAAUUAAGUAGUGUCUCGGAGAAGAAGAUAACGAAGACAAAUUAACAUAUAUAUUUUUUAAGUUUUAUGUUUUAAAAAUAUAAAAAUUUAUUUCAAAAUUAUUUCUUAGAUAAAUUUAUUUAUAUCUCUUUAAUUUAUUUUUUUAUUUGUCACGUAACACUGACCAAAACCAAAUGCCAAAUGUAAGUGACAUUAUUGAAAUCCUUUCGAUAUUUGCAGUCGAGGGAAAUGCUUAUUCUCUCUAGGUGGAAGAACUUGGUGAAAUUCGAUCGACUCAUGAGGCUAGAUUUAGAUCUUGACAUGCUCUUUCUUAGUUCUUAGACAGCUUAAGUUGAUGUCAAAUCCAGUUUCAGUCUGCUAGGUGUUUUUGUCAACUGUUUUGUUUGCAGACAAAAAGGGGCAGGAGCUGCAAAAAUAACUGUAGUGGUCAAGGAGUUUGUAACUAUGAACUUGGUCAAUGUCGGUGUUUUCACGGAUUUAGAGGUGAGCUAUUUUUCUAUUUUAUUUUGAUCUACAUCAAUUUUAGUGAAAAAUCUUAAAUAAAUAGCGGAAACUAGUACAGGUUGACAUCUCCCUUUGAUUAUCCCUGUUAUAAGAACCAUUAGUUUGUUCAUUCGAUGAACAUGGAAGUUGGAACUGCGGGACUGGAAAAGUCAGAUGGCUACUCGGAAAUUGAUUUUGAAAAUACAGAUGAUUAGAUUUGGCAUUGCCAACAGUGGAUGGUUUCCAGGGUCGAGAGAAGGAAGCCAUCAUUAUUUCAAUGGUUCGAUCGAACUCAAAGAAAGAGGUGGGGUUUUUGAGUGACCACAGGCGAAUGAAUGUGGCUGUGACACGGGCAAGAAGACAGUGCUGUCUUGUAUGUGACACGGAGACAGUGAGUAGUGAUGGGUUCUUAAAGCGAUUAAUUGAGCAUUUUGAGGAGCACAGGGAGUAUCUAAGUGCAUCAGAGCACCUCAAUGGAUAAGCAAAGGUUGCUAGUGAAGAGGGCUGUUUUAAACUGUCAGAGAUUAUCAAAUCGUUUACUGGAAGAUGUAACUGGGAAAGUAUUCUCACCAUCUGACAGUUGAUUGGAGAAGAUUUUACCUGUUUUUAUUCAUCUAAUUGACCAGAAACGAUUAUGCUUUGUAUUUUUUACCAGAAUUUUGAAAUAGAUUAUCAAAAUCUAGUCUAUAUUCUUUCGCUUUUUA